AACGAACGCUGGCGGCGUGGAUAAGACAUGCAAGUCGAACGGGAUUACUUUUGUAGCAAUACAGAAGUAAUUCAGUGGCGAACGGGUGCGUAACACGUGGGCAAUCUGCCGAGAAGUCGGGGAUAGCUCGCCGAAAGGCGAAUUAAUACCGCAUAUGAUCAGGGACGACAUCUUCCCAACAUCAAAGCCGGGGCAACCUGGCGCUUUUUGAGGAGCCCGCGGCCUAUCAGCUAGUUGGUGAGGUAACGGCCCACCAAGGCUAUGACGGGUAGCUGGUCUGAGAGGACGACCAGUCACACUGGAACUGAGACACGGUCCAGACACCUACGGGUGGCAGCAGUCGAGAAUUUUUCUCAAUGGGGGCAACCCUGAAGGAGCGACGCCGCGUGGAGGAUGAAGGCUUUC
Molecule: ribosomal RNA, 405 nt
Filed under: uncultured bacterium
Lineage: Bacteria
Description: bacterial SSU rRNA
Rfam family: Bacterial small subunit ribosomal RNA
Source: RNAcentral